Molecule: unclassified non-coding RNA, 334 nt
Filed under: Hevea brasiliensis (rubber tree)
Lineage: Eukaryota; Viridiplantae; Streptophyta; Magnoliopsida; Malpighiales; Euphorbiaceae
Source: RNAcentral
CUUUUCUUUUUUUUUUUAAAUAAAAUCAGGCACUGGAGAGACUACCUUCACAAGGGCCCCAGUUGAUUGCAAGCUAGUUCAAAAACAUAUGCAACAAAAAUCUAAUCUAUUACUUAUUCCUUUAAUGAUGGUCAACUUCCAAGUACUGCCAAAGAUAACAUUUGAUGUUAUGAAUUGAUAGUUAAGUCAAUAAAUCAGCUGAUAGGCUAUCACAUUUGUUGAGGUUUUGUUGUCUUCCAAUUAUGCAGUCGGGCAUCAAAAUGACAUGAAUCAUUGGAAAUUCCCUAGCAUUUAAAAAAAUUCAAACUUACAGAAGCAAGCUCCUCAAUGACAA